This 641-nucleotide ribosomal RNA is filed under the name Oreina elongata. Its description in RNAcentral is "partial 28S ribosomal RNA". It matches the Rfam family "Eukaryotic large subunit ribosomal RNA", at positions 670 to 1262 of the family's 3401-position model. The record is from RNAcentral. RNAcentral also lists the same sequence under 1 other name. Lineage: Eukaryota; Metazoa; Arthropoda; Insecta; Coleoptera; Chrysomelidae.
GGAGUCUAGCAUGUGCGCGAGUCAUUGGGAACAACUAAACCUAAAGGCGCAAUGAAAGUGAAGGUCCGCCUCGCGCGGACCGAGGGAAGAUGGGCGGUAACCACCGUAAGAUGGUCCGCCCCGCACUCCCGGGGCGUCUCGUUCUCAUUGCGAGAAGAGGCGCACCAAGAGCGUACACGCUGGGACCCGAAAGAUGGUGAACUAUGCCUGGUCAGGACGAAGUCAGGGGAAACCCUGAUGGAGGUCCGUAGCGAUUCUGACGUGCAAAUCGAUCGUCGGAACUGGGUAUAGGGGCGAAAGACUAAUCGAACCAUCUAGUAGCUGGUUCCCUCCGAAGUUUCCCUCAGGAUAGCUGGCGCUCGUCGCCUACGAGUCUCAUCCGGUAAAGCGAAUGAUUAGAGGCAUUGGGGUCGAAACGGCCUCAACCUAUUCUCAAACUUUAAAUGGGUGAGAUCUCCGGCUUGCUCGAACUACUGAAGCCGCGAGACACGGAUCAGAGUGCCAAGUGGGCCAUUUUUGGUAAGCAGAACUGGCGCUGUGGGAUGAACCAAACGCCGAGUUAAAGCGCCUAAAUCGACGCUUAUGGGAUACCAUGAAAGGCGUUGGUAACUUAAGACAGCAGGACGGUGGCCAUGGAAGUC